GCAACACCAUACUGAGUGUACCUGAUUCUGCUGAUUUUGGAAACUACGCAGUCCUGAGCUUGGCUAGUAUCUGGAUGGGAGACCACUUGAAAAUCUGUCAAUGUGCA
Molecule: ribosomal RNA, 107 nt
Filed under: Sphenodon punctatus (tuatara)
Lineage: Eukaryota; Metazoa; Chordata; Lepidosauria; Sphenodontia; Sphenodontidae
Source: RNAcentral